AAGUAUAAGUGAACUUAUACAGUGAAACUGCGGAUGGCUCAUUAAAACAGUUUGAAUUUAUUUGAUGAAUGUAUGAGAAUACUACUUGGAUAACCGUAGUAAUUCUAGAGCUAAUACAUGCAACGACGCCCGACCGUUUCACUACGGAAGGGCUGUAUUUAUUGGAUACCAAAACCAUCCUUCCCUCGGGAAGUUUUGUUUGAUGAUUCACAAUAACUGAUCGGAUCGCCACUGUGGUGGCGACAGGUCAUUCAACAUUCUGCCCUAUCAGCUUUCGAUGGUUGUGUAGUGGACAACCAUGGCCAUAACGGGUAACGGAGAAUCAGGGUUCGAUUCCGGAGAAGGAGCUUGAGAAUUGGCUACUACAUCUAAGGAAGGCAGCAGGCGCGCAAAUUACCCAAUCCCGAUUCGGGGAGGUAGUGACAAAAAAUAACAAUACCGGGCCUUUUUGGGCUUGGUAAUUAGAAUGAGGGAGAGUUAAACGGACCAUCGAGUAUCCAUUGGAGGGCAAGUCUGGUGCCAGCAGCUGCGGUAAUACCAGCUCCAAUAGCGUAUAUUAAAGUUGUUGCAGUUAAAAAGCUCGUAGUUGGACUUGUGUGCGCUGUCCGCGGGUGGCCUGCGCCCAAGAGGGCGUUUCGGUUCGGCCCCGGUGGCGCCUUGAAAUCUGCAGCUGGGGGGACGUUGGCCUUAACUGGUCGGCGACCGCACGCCGGCUGCUCGGUUACUGUGAGAAAAUUAGAGUGUUCAAGGCAGGCAUUGGGUGCAAUUGAAUACAUUAGCAUGGAAUAAUAAAAUAUGGCUCCUGCCGUAUUUUGUUGGUUUUGACUGGUGGGAGUAAUGAUUGAUAGGGACGGUUGGGGGUGCUAGUAUUGAGCGGCCAGAGGUGAAAUUCAUGGAUUCGCUCAAGACUAACUUAUGCGAAAGCAUUCACCAAGGACGUCCUCUUUAAUCAAGAACGAAAGUUGGGGGAUCGAAGACGAUCAGAUACCGUCGUAGUCUCAACCAUAAACUAUGUCGACUUGGGAUCGGCGGUAGUUUUUUCAUUAAGACACUGUCGGGACCACGGGAGAAAUCAAAGUGUCUGGACUCUGGGGGAAGUAUGGUCGCAAGGCUGAAACUUGAAGGAAUUGACGGAAGGGCACCACCAGGAGUGGAGCCUGCGGCUUAAUUUGACCCAACACGGGGAAACUUACCAGGUCCAGAGAUGUAGAGGAUUGACAGAUUGAAGCUCUUUCUUGAUCACUUCGGUGGUGGUGCAUGGCCGUUCUUAGUUGGU
This 1276-nucleotide ribosomal RNA is filed under the name metagenome. RNAcentral's name for it is "SSU rRNA". It matches the Rfam family "Eukaryotic small subunit ribosomal RNA", at positions 61 to 1302 of the family's 1831-position model. The record is from RNAcentral.